AAUGCAAAAUUUGUGGAGAGUCAGGGCUUCAAAUAAACAAACAACAACAGAGUGGAUGUACAAAGUAAACAAUCGAUGAAGACAAACAUUAAGGGCGGUUAAGCCAAAACGAAUUUCCAAAGGAAAUUGAAU
Molecule: long non-coding RNA, 132 nt
Organism: Octopus sinensis (East Asian common octopus)
Lineage: Eukaryota; Metazoa; Mollusca; Cephalopoda; Octopoda; Octopodidae
Exons: 3
Source: RefSeq, a predicted model, not a curated record